RNAcentral lists this non-coding RNA (190 nucleotides) under unclassified sequences. The record is from Rfam by way of RNAcentral.
GGGGACGGAUCCGGCGGGACGGCGACCCUCGUUCCCCCUCCGGCAGCGCGUCGCUGGCCAAGCCUCUCCUUCGUGCGGAGUCUAAAGGCAAGGCCGUAAAUUCCGAGGGUGGCGCGGGCGCCGAGUAGCCGAAUAGGCGAAAACCUCCCUGGCCCCGGGGCGGCGAGAGGAUAGCAUUCCGUGUCCGGGA